AUCCUGUUGAACUCGAUGAGAACGACAAGGAUCCGAUCACCUUCGUGGAUGCCAUGCAAAGGUCCGACUCUGAGAAAUGACUUGAAGCCAUAAUCUAAGAUAGAGUUUAUGGAGAUCAAUAGUGAAUGGACACUUGUUGAUCCACCCGAAGAGAUUAAAUUCAUAGGGUAUAAAUAGAUUUUUAAAAGAAAAAGGAGCAUAAAUAGGAAGGU
This 212-nucleotide long non-coding RNA is filed under the name Elaeis guineensis (African oil palm). Its description in RNAcentral is "long non-coding RNA (EGUI_LNC040832)". Lineage: Eukaryota; Viridiplantae; Streptophyta; Magnoliopsida; Arecales; Arecaceae. The record is from RNAcentral.